UAUGGCCAUAUCAUAUUGAAUCACUGGUUCUCUUACAAUCACCGAAGUUAAGCAACAUCGAGCCUGGUCAGUAUCUUGAUGGGUGACAGCUUGGGAAUGUCAGGUACUACA
Molecule: non-coding RNA, 111 nt
Organism: Acanthosepion pharaonis
Lineage: Eukaryota; Metazoa; Mollusca; Cephalopoda; Sepiida; Sepiidae
Source: the annotation of a GenBank genome assembly